GACGAACGCUGGCGGCGUGCUUAACACUUCCAGGCCGACCGGAAGGGCCUUCUUUUGGUGGGUGCCCGGAGUGCCAACGGGGGAGGUAAAAGGUGGGUACCUUGCCCUUGCCUUUGGGUUAACUUAGGGAACUUGGGGCUAUUACCGGUUGGAACUUCUUCCUGCAGGGUGGGGGUGGGAAAGUUUCGGGGGUGGGGGAUGGACUCGCGGCUUAUCAGCUUGUUGGUGGGGUAGUGGCUUACCAAGGCUUUGACGGGUAGCCGGCCUGAGAGGGUGACCGGCCACAUUGGGACUGAGAUACGGCCCAGACUCCUACGGGAGGCAGCAGUGGGGAAUAUUGCACAAUGGGCGGAAGCCUGAUGCAGCAACGCCGCGUGCGGGAUGACGGCCUUCGGGUUGUAAACCGCUUUCGCCUGUGACGAAGCGUGAGUGACGGUAAUGGGUAAAGAAGCACCGGCUAACUACGUG
This 468-nucleotide ribosomal RNA is filed under the name uncultured bacterium. RNAcentral describes it as "partial 16S ribosomal RNA". It matches the Rfam family "Bacterial small subunit ribosomal RNA", at positions 28 to 507 of the family's 1533-position model. The record is from RNAcentral.